ACUUCCUCUCUUCUCUCUCCACUGGACCUUCACAUGCACGCAUUAAAAACAAAAAAAAGAAAAAAGAGAUAAAAAAAGGUUUCUCUCACACGUGUCACGUUAUAUACUCUCUGUCAUACCCCAAUUUUGUCUGGGCAUUUUAAAAAUUUCAUAAAUUCGAUUUUUAUUUCAAUUUGCAUCAGUUGUACAACAUAACAUGCAUUCCAUCAUAAAUAGUACCUAAAAUAUCAGUCAGGAUAAAUUUAUUGAAAA
Molecule: long non-coding RNA, 252 nt
Filed under: Lathyrus oleraceus (garden pea)
Lineage: Eukaryota; Viridiplantae; Streptophyta; Magnoliopsida; Fabales; Fabaceae
Description: Pisum sativum (pea) long non-coding RNA (PSAT_LNC025458)
Source: RNAcentral